GCCGCUGUAGGUACGAUUCAGGCUGAUGUGCUCACGCCUCUGCUUAUCUGACUACCAACAGUGCCACCUAAAGCUUCGAUCCAACACAGGGUGAUGCUGUCCGCAACCGAGGAGCCACCUUGCCCUCUGCAUCCAGAGGUUCUGCCCCGCCAUCCCUCUUCCACCACCGGCGACGGCUCUCCCCUCCCCUGCUCGUCUUGCCUCGCCCCCAAAUUCAGCCCGUGCAGGUAAGCUUGAAAAUAGAUUCCUUCUAUCUUUUCUGCUUCAUAUGUUAUUUCUCGUUUGUCCAUGAAUGUGAUUUCCCAUGUAAUCUUGUUGGCUCUUGUCCAUGAAUGUGAUUUCCCAUGUAAUCUUGUUGGCUCAACGACGAACUAAACAAGAUCAUAUCAGUUCGUUGGAGAUUGAAGAUUUCAGAGUGCUAACCAUCCAUCUCUCAUUUCAGAGUGCAAAUUUUCGUUCUUGAUUAGCACCAUCAUGUUAUUGUAAUGUUGUUUUUGUUGUUGUUGAUUUGGGAUGUGUUCUGCGACACGUGUUGUUUCAGAGAAUGGUUUCUAUAAGAUUGUGCAUGACGAUUACUAGAUUUGUGCGCCAUGCCUUGGCCUGGGUGUUUCGUGAAUUCAGUGAGAUGCAUUAUAUUUCUCUUGCUCUUCCAUGGGUGUCAUGCCUAUCUAGAAACAUGCUACUGAUUUUAGUUCAGGCUAGCUUCCUUCUCAUAAGUAGAACUUUGCUUGAUAUCAACUUUAAUGAGGUUUGACUAUUGUUGGGGAUGUUCUGAAGCUCGUGGACUGUAUGCUUGUAGCUGCGCUCAACCUGCCAGGCCACUCCCUUCUCUUAUCACAUUUAUAUCCAGCAUUAAUUCUCAGGUUUCAGUAUUUACUAAUUACUACUACCUUUGUAAUGAUUAGAUCUCAAUCUUCCUAUUUCCCUUUGCAGGCUGGAAGGAUCCCCAACCAUGCUGGGUGCUAAUGCUUGAGGUAUGUACUGGAUGGAUUUGCUCAGCUAAAGAAACAAAUUGCAAUCAUGAAGUGUGUCGGCAAUUGGUUCAUAGUGGCUAGAAGCCUUUUUUUUAGUCUCAAACUUCCUGGGGGAGACCAGCGUGAUAUUUGUGCUUCACAUGAGAUCAUGCUAUCCAGCCACCUGGACCAUCUGAUGUGUUAAGGUUGAAAGUCUGUCCGUUCUACACAAAACCCCAUAUUUUUAUCUCUGUUUUGCAUGUGAUCCCACCACUUGUAUGGUUUUGAAUAAACCACCAGUGUGAACGUUACAUUUGCUAGUUCGGUACUCAUCCAUGUUCAGGCUGUAUCAUGUAGUGUACUCUGUAUAUUGCUUAAAAAGAAAACCAUACUCUGUAUUUUGCUAAAAAAAAGGGUUCUACUCUGCAAAUGCAAUCCAAUACUCAGUGAAAAUAUUCAAAAACUGUGUUACGCAAUUUUCACCAAACCUGCACGUUCCAUACCUAAAUUUUCAACAGCUCGAUCAGUAAUAGAAAAAAAACAAUAAGUGUUCAUUCAUAGUUUUCAGACAAAAUGUUUAAACGAUAGUUGGUAUUGUUAAGGCUCCCCUGUUACUUCUCAAAGCAACCACACCUUUUGUAGCAAAGUGUAUUAACCAACAGAGCCAAAUGUGAAAUAUAUAUAACUUUAUUAAUUGUUAGUAUGCAAAACCAAUAGCAGCUAAGUUCUGCUUAUGCUAAUAGUCUACAUGUUACUUUGAUGUUGAUGCUGCAUGCUCUGCUGCCAAUUUGAUUCUGCAUUCAGUACAUGUGAGUGAAGAAAGAAAGUGUUGUUUCUUUUCAGGCUAGUAAAGCAUCAUUGUGCAAUUCUGGAACAACUAUCACAUAUGUAUGGAACUAAUGCUAGCAAUGUAGCCGCCUGAGGAAGAGGAUGGAACUUUAUUUUCCUGCCUAACAUUUUGGAAUCUCCUUUUUAUAUGCCAUGCUUUUUUGAGCUAGUACAGAUAAAGAUCUAGCCGCAAAGAUAAGGUAAUUUGUUUCUAAUCUACUACACCUUAUAUGUUCAGUGGUACAAAGGGAACUUCUAUAUAUGCAAAUAUUCUCAACUGCAACAAAAUUGUUCAGUUGAGCUACUAAACUUGCUGACAGGAUAAUGCUCAGGGUUAGCAACUUGAAAUUUUUCUAGUUAACUAAAUAAAAUAUUCUGACAGUUUAAAAGUAUUUGUUUCAGCUAGACCACACCCUGUUUGUGUCAGUCCUAUAUUCUCCAGUUACACUAAGAACAUAAGUACACCAGUACGAGUUUGUUUAGGCCUCUACAACAUUGUGGCCAUAGUGGGUGGAUUAGGAUGCAACAUCUGUUUGUAUCCGUUGGUAUGGACAUUUUGCUGCUUGCUAGGAAAUGUUCGUCUCCAGUGUUGAACUGCUGGCCGAUGGUAAUUCUGACAGUUGAAUUUGCAUUGCUAACAUAUCCUGGUAUAUAUUUAGGAUCCUACGCUACUUAUUUAGAUUAUAAACUAAUUUGUCAUGUUAAUGUUUUAUGCCGGUAUAUGUGCCUGCUUACACCCAGAUUUGUUUUGCCUUAUGCAGAAACUACUGGAUACUUGCAUCAAGCUUGACCAAGUAUGUCCAGUAUUGCUUUAGACAUUAGUUAUCUUCCUAGUGUUAUUAUACCUGGCGAUAGAGCUCCAUUGGUUUCUUUAGGCGACAUGCCUGAUUCAUUUAUUACUCUGUAGAGUGAGUGCGUAAAGUUUUUUUUUCCUUUUAUGACUAUUUGGUGCUUUUACCCAACAAGGCAGUAUGUUCUUUUGCAGGGACAAAUGGCAGAAAAUAACAAGUCCACAAGUUGAUCUAAGAUGUUCCGCGAUCGCUUUUGUUCAUAACAUGGUUGACACCUUUUGAUCAUACGAAAGUUGAUGUUGGCUUGGUGAUUGAAGACUUGGUCUCUUCCAUAAUAUUUUGUAGUAGUCAAGUGAUCAAACAAUUGGUCUCUUAGGUUCUUAGCCAUCAAAUUUUGCAACAACUUGUCUUGUAUGUCAACUUAUGUAUUUCCUUCAUGGUUGUUAGCUAACAUGAGUGAAGAAAACAAAUGAAUCUUUAUAUAUGUUGAAUGACAUGUUGUGAUGAAUAGAAGACUGCCAUUGUUUGUAUAUGCAUUGUGUACUGAACAUGAAUUAAAUAUUAUGAACGUGAUCUAAUAUUAAAAUAUGG
RNAcentral lists this long non-coding RNA (3163 nucleotides) under Triticum aestivum (bread wheat). Its description in RNAcentral is "long non-coding RNA (TAES_LNC011826)". Lineage: Eukaryota; Viridiplantae; Streptophyta; Magnoliopsida; Poales; Poaceae. The record is from RNAcentral.